UAGGGAAUCUUCCGCAAUGGACGCAAGUCUGACGGAGCAACGCCGCGUGAGUGAAGAAGGAUUUCGGUUCGUAAAACUCUGUUGUUAGAGAAGAACAGCGCAUAGAGUAACUGUUAUGCGUGUGACGGUAUCUAACCAGAAAGCCACGGCUAACUACGUGCCAGCAGCCGCGGUAAUACGUAGGUGGCAAGCGUUGUCCGGAUUUAUUGGGCGGAAAGCGAGCGCAGGCGGUCAAUUAAGUCUGAUGUGAAAGCCCCCGGCUCAACCGGGGAGGGUCAUUGGAAACUGGUUGACUUGAGUGCAGAAGAGGAGAGUGGAAUUCCAUGUGUAGCGGUGAAAUGCGUAGAUAUAUGGAGGAACACCAGUGGCGAAGGCGACUCUCUGGUCUGUAACAGACGCUGAGGUUCGAAAGCGUGGGUAGCAAACAGG
This 429-nucleotide ribosomal RNA is filed under the name Bacteroidota bacterium. Its description in RNAcentral is "Bacteroidetes bacterium partial 16S ribosomal RNA". It matches the Rfam family "Bacterial small subunit ribosomal RNA", at positions 355 to 776 of the family's 1533-position model. The record is from RNAcentral. Lineage: Bacteria; Pseudomonadati; Bacteroidota.